GCCAGCCUGAGAGUGAGUGCUCUCUUGAUCUGGCAGCCAGAGAUCUCUAAUUGAGUCAGAGGUCCACAGCUAUUGUUCCAGUGAAUGACAGUGCAGGGAACACUAAAUGCUCGAAGAACCCUGCAGCAGGUGUCAGUUUUACUGAAACAAGCCCAUGAAAUUCAGGAAGAAAGGAAAGAAAAUGGGAGGAGAGACAGAAGAGCGCUGGAAAGUUACAGACAGCAAUGACCUGGAAGCUGCAAUUUUGCCGAGGCACACACGCUUCCAGGCACUCAGUAGGGAGAGCCACUGUUGAAGGCUGUCUGCCUGGGGAUGACUUCAGCCAGAAGAUGGGCGCUGUAAAUAAACAUGCCUGUUUUUCAGAAGAAGAGUUGAGAGUAUAUCUGAUUCCACAGUUAAUGUUUCUAACCACUAGGCCACAUGGCUUCCUAAUCCCUAGGUUCAGAGCCCCUCUACUUGGUACAG
Molecule: long non-coding RNA, 465 nt
Organism: Bubalus bubalis (water buffalo)
Lineage: Eukaryota; Metazoa; Chordata; Mammalia; Artiodactyla; Bovidae
Exons: 3
Source: RefSeq, a predicted model, not a curated record